RNAcentral lists this ribosomal RNA (1524 nucleotides) under Flavobacteriaceae bacterium. RNAcentral's name for it is "bacterial SSU rRNA". It matches the Rfam family "Bacterial small subunit ribosomal RNA". The record is from RNAcentral. Lineage: Bacteria; Pseudomonadati; Bacteroidota; Flavobacteriia; Flavobacteriales; Flavobacteriaceae.
ACAAUGAAGAGUUUGAUCCUGGCUCAGGAUGAACGCUAGCGGCAGGCCUAACACAUGCAAGUCGAACGGUAACAUGGAUUGCUUGCAAUCUGAUGACGAGUGGCGCACGGGUGCGUAACGCGUAUGCAAUCUACCUUUUACAGGAGAAUAGCCCAGAGAAAUUUGGAAUAAUGCUCCAUAAUAUCAUUUAUCAGCAUUGGUUUAUGAUUAAAGCUCCGGCGGUAAAAGAUGAGCAUGCGUUCUAUUAGCUAGUAGGUGAGGUAACGGCUCACCUAGGCUACGAUAGAUAGGGGCCCUGAGAGGGGGAUCCCCCACACUGGUACUGAGACACGGACCAGACUCCUACGGGAGGCAGCAGUGAGGAAUAUUGGACAAUGGAGGAAACUCUGAUCCAGCCAUGCCGCGUGCAGGAUGACUGCCCUAUGGGUUGUAAACUGCUUUUAUAUAGGAAGAAACACUCCCACGUGUGGGGGCUUGACGGUACUAUAUGAAUAAGGAUCGGCUAACUCCGUGCCAGCAGCCGCGGUAAUACGGAGGAUCCAAGCGUUAUCCGGAAUCAUUGGGUUUAAAGGGUCCGCAGGCGGCCUGUUAAGUCAGAGGUGAAAUCCUACAGCUCAACUGUAGAACUGCCUUUGAUACUGAUAGGCUUGAGUUAUUGUGAAGUGGUUAGAAUGUGUGGUGUAGCGGUGAAAUGCUUAGAUAUCACACAGAAUACCCAUUGCGAAGGCAGAUCACUAACAAUAUACUGACGCUCAUGGACGAAAGCGUGGGGAGCGAACGGGAUUAGAUACCCCGGUAGUCCACGCCGUAAACGAUGGAUACUAACUGUUCGACCUUCGGGUUGAGUGGUCAAGCGAAAGUGAUAAGUAUCCCACCUGGGGAGUACGCUCGCAAGAGUGAAACUCAAAGGAAUUGACGGGGGCCCGCACAAGCGGUGGAGCAUGUGGUUUAAUUCGAUGAUACGCGAGGAACCUUACCAGGGCUUAAAUGUAGUGGGACAGGUCUAGAGAUAGACCCUUCUUCGGACUCAUUACAAGGUGCUGCAUGGUUGUCGUCAGCUCGUGCCGUGAGGUGUCAGGUUAAGUCCUAUAACGAGCGCAACCCCUAUCGUUAGUUGCCAGCGGGUAAUGCCGGGAACUCUAGCGAAACUGCCGGUGCAAACCGUGAGGAAGGUGGGGAUGACGUCAAAUCAUCACGGCCCUUACGUCCUGGGCUACACACGUGCUACAAUGGUCGGUACAGAGAGCAGCCACUACGCGAGUAGGAGCGAAUCUUCAAAACCGAUCUCAGUUCGGAUCGCAGUCUGCAACUCGACUGCGUGAAGCUGGAAUCGCUAGUAAUCGGAUAUCAGCCAUGAUCCGGUGAAUACGUUCCCGGGCCUUGUACACACCGCCCGUCAAACCAUGGAAGCUGGGGGUGCCUGAAGUUCGUGACCGCAAGGAGCGACCUAGGGUAAAACUGGUGACUGGGGUUAAGUCGUAACAAGGUAGCCGUACCGGAAGGUGCGGCUGGAACACCUCCUUU